Anolis sagrei ordinatus is the source of this 698-nucleotide non-coding RNA. The record is from RefSeq and is a predicted model, not a curated record. NCBI's taxonomy places the organism in Eukaryota, Metazoa, Chordata, Lepidosauria, Squamata, Anolidae.
GAUCAAGAAUAGAAAGAAGGUCUUGGGGAGAGAUGCUACUUGAAAGAUGCCUAUGCUUUUGCUUCUUUUCUCUGAGAGCGAGCACUUUUUUCAAAACCUAAGUUUUUGAUCUGUUUCUUUGUCUCCUUCUUCUGGCACUCGGCUUUUAAGGUGGCAUUUUGAUCAUAAAGAAGGUCGAGGGAGUAAGGAAAAGGGAUGUAGCUGGAGAACAGCUCGUCUUUCCAUUCUGGACUGAGCCAAAAAGGGACUCGGGGCAGCUUACAUAUGACACAAAGUGCCUAAGACAAAGCAUAAUAUAAGUACUGUAACAUCCCAAGAAGUGAGAGAUUCUGUGUAUGGGGAGAACAAACAGUGGAAGAUAUUGAACAUUUCUUAAUUGACUGCCCAACAUAUGCUGAACUGCGAUACAGAUAUUUACAUCCAAUAUUAUCCAAAUGCAUGUCCCCCAACAGGAAUGAUCUUCUGGCAUUCCACUUGCAAGGACAAAAAAGAUCCACCAUAAUCAGAGUAAGCCUUUUUAUUCUGAAAGCUAUCAAGAAAGAGCACAUUUCCUGAAAGAAGAACCAAGACAAUAAGACUCUGAUUGUAAAUAGAAGGUCAGCUGCUGUCCUCUCCUUUUUGCUUUGUAUUUUAUUCGUGUUGUAUUUUGAAAUGGUCAUAUGACUAGUCAAAUAAAUAAAUAAAUGGUUCUGGCCCAA